CUCAGAAGAAAGAGGUUUACACUAAACUUUGCAUAACAUGAGCCAGUCUUCCUUCCCAGCUUAGGCUGUGCUAGGUGAAUUGAAUCUAAAAGAGAGCGAGCAGGAGCAGCAAGUGCCAGGAGCCUCUUCCACUCUUGCAGUCUUCAGGCAUGACAGCACCUGGGGCAACACCUGGGUACUUUUGGAGGCACCUGCUGCCUCAGGGAGUCUCAUACAUGGCACAGCUGCUCUGAGAGCCCCUGCCUCCCUCCUUGACAUUGUCUUCCCAGGGGAGAAAGGGAAUCUACAUUUAGUGAGUCCCAACAUCUGUCAGCCACAAUCCUAGGUGAUAUAUAAGCUUCACAACAAACCUUAGAGCAGGUAGCAUUUUUGACAUUUUACAUUUGUUGGGUUUCUGCUACAUGCCAAGCCCUCUGACAAGCAUGUCUCAUACUUCAUCUCAGCUUUCAAAGUAAUCCUGGAAGAAGACAUAAUUGUGCACUUCGCGUAGAUGAGGAAAUUAAGGUUUAGAGAGGCUGAAUAGCUGCUAGGAGUCCUUCAAGCAGGGAGUGGAAGAGCUGAAAUUAAAAAGUAGUUCUAGCUAACUCCUGGACCCAAAAUGUGAAUCAAGUUUACUAAAUUAGAAGAAUUUACAGAACCCAGAAUAGAGCCUAUGCACGCAUAUAUAUAUGUGGGAUACUGGCAGGUAAGAGAUUAGGUUUUUCUGUUAAAUCACCAAGGAAGGCUGGAGGAUUAAAUGAGAUAAUGUAUGUAACUUGCCUGGUACAUUACAGCCUGCAAAAGAUCAUCUGUUCUCUAUAUCACAAUCUAUUAUGGGAAUAUGACUUGAACAGAGUGACUGUUAAUGACAUAAUGAACAUGUACAUUAAGAGAGGUUUGGAAGAGAGUCUUUUCUUGCUAGAAAGAGUAUAGAUCUGGAGCCAGGAUGCUGGACUAGUUAAGGGCCGCUGGUUGUGGAGUCAGAUGGACUGGGAUUAAAUCUUGACUCGUCCACCAACUAUCAACUUGAUCAAAAUGAAGUCUUAGUAUGUUGUCCAGGCUGGUCUUGAACUUCUGGCCUUAAGUGAUCCUCCUGCCUUGGCCUCCCAAAGUGUGGGAUUACAGGCAUGAGCCACUGUGUCUGGCUGAAAUUGGAAUUCUAAAGAAUCAAAUUUUGCCCCAAUUUGCUGUGCUGCCUGUGCUUGGAAUAAACAUUUUGCAGCCAUACAGAAAUCAGAAGAUUUAUUGAGAAUACGGUACAUGCUCCUAGUGGGUAGAGAGGAAUCAGACAUAGCUCCCGCCGUCAAGGAGAUCUGAGUUUCAUGAUGAAGAUACAAAAAUGAAAAUGACUAUGUGUGGAAUGUGCUAAUAGUGAUAUGAGCAGGGCAAGCUCAAGGCACGAGGGAAGGUCAAAGGAAGCUUAUGAAAGAAAGAGAUUCUUCGGCAGUGUUAAGCAAACAUCCAUGACACAGAUACUGCUGAAAAGUGACCUGUAUCCAGCUGAGGAGCACUGGUUGUACAUUUGUGUUUGGUGCUGACAGAAGAGUCUACGCUACUAAGAAUAUUAAGUUAUCAUCUGGCCUCUGGAUUGAGGAGGUAGCAUUAUAUAAGUAAAUGGAGGGUCAGAGACACUGUUGGUUACCCAAGAUCGUAUUCCAGAUCACUGGUGAAGCCUGUUAGCAACUCCAAGCAUUUGAGCUAGGAUCUGCUACUUCUCAACACUAGGCUACAGACAUUCUCAGCAGUUAUCAUCUUACUGGGCUUAACAAUAAUGUACAAGGAACAUAACUGCAAAGUGGGCUACUGUGUCUCACAAGAUGAGAACAAAGGAAGUGCUGGAAGAGUUUCAAGUCUGGCUGCAGAAAGCUGGAAAGAUGACAGUCUACUUGGGAAAAUGAUACAAAAUGUCUGAAAAUUUAAGCAACUGCUCAAGACUCCUGUCUUAUGAGGGAAAGGAGGCGGGCUCCCUCACAAGACAUUAAGGCUGCCUGUGAGGGCUGUCACCAGUAGUGUUACUAAGUUAAGAUCCUAAUGUACAGUGUGGACACAUGAGUGUUUCUCUUUCUUUUACAAAUGCUGCUAAAGAACAUGCCCAUAGAGGAUAUUUGCAACACCUUAUAAACUAAACCUGACAAUAGGAAAGACCAUACAAAAAGUAUGUACCUUUUAACUUUUUUCCCUUAAGAAAGAAGUUCUAGGUAAGGUAAUCAGGUAAGAAAUUAUUCAAAUAAAAUUAGAAAAAUCAAAUAUUGCUCUGGUUAUACAUGUAAAAUAAUUGCAUUUAUUCAUUAAAAUAAUGCAUUGUAUGUAUUGAUCCAUCUAUAAUUUAUGAGGCACUGGGCAACCUAAUCAUGAAUUCACUCAGUCAUUUAUUGUGUCUGUUAUUUCAACCCACAUUAUUGAACUUCUGUUAUGUGCAAAGCUGUGGCCAGGGUGUGGAUUUCUCCAUGGAUAAGACAUAUUCUGUCCUAGAGAGGAGGCUAGAAAAACUACAGUUUAAUGAGCAGAUAUUAGAUGCUCUGUACUAUGCUAAGAAUUUUAUGCACAGUAUUUCAUAUGAAAAUUGUAAUAACUCUGUUAGGCAAGGCUUAUUGUAAUGUUCUUAGAGAUGGUGUAUUAGUCUGUUUUCACAUGGAUAAUAAAGAUAAUGAGACUGGGUAAUGUAUAAAGAAAAAGAGGUUUAAUGGACUCACAGUUCCACAUGGCUGGGGAGGCCUCACAAUCAUAGUGGAAGGUGAAGGAGGAGCAAAGUCACAUCGUACAUGGUGGCAGGCAAGAGAGUGUGUGUAGGGAAACUGCCCUUUAUAAAGCCAUCAGAUCUCAUGAGACUUAUUCAUUGCCACAAGAACAGCAUGGGAAAAACCCACCUCCAUGAUUCAAUUACCUCUCACUGGGUCCCUCCCAUGACACGUGGGGAUUAUGGGA
This 2904-nucleotide long non-coding RNA is filed under the name Homo sapiens (human). RNAcentral describes it as "HSALNT0178864". The record is from RNAcentral. Lineage: Eukaryota; Metazoa; Chordata; Mammalia; Primates; Hominidae.